This 253-nucleotide ribosomal RNA is filed under the name uncultured bacterium. RNAcentral describes it as "partial 16S ribosomal RNA". It matches the Rfam family "Bacterial small subunit ribosomal RNA", at positions 524 to 776 of the family's 1533-position model. The record is from RNAcentral.
UACGUAGGGGGCGAGCGUUGUCCGGAGUUACUGGGCGUAAAGGGCACGCAGGCGGUGCGGCGCGUUUCGCGUGACAGCGGAGGGCUUAACUCUCCGAGGAUGCGAAAGACGGCGGCACUUGAGGGCCAGAGAGGGACACGGAAUUCCGGGUGGAGUGGUGAAAUGCGUAGAUAUCCGGAGGAAUACCAAAGGCGAAGGCAGUGUCCUGGCUGGCAUCUGACGCUGAGGCGCGAAAGCUAGGGGAGCGAACAGG